This 251-nucleotide unclassified non-coding RNA is filed under the name Hevea brasiliensis (rubber tree). The record is from RNAcentral. Lineage: Eukaryota; Viridiplantae; Streptophyta; Magnoliopsida; Malpighiales; Euphorbiaceae.
GCGUCGAGGCAGAACUGCAAUGCUGCUGGUCUCCUCUCCUUCCUCCACCGCGUAGUUGAUGUUUUUAAGCACUAUUUCGAAGAAUUAGAAGAGGAAUCGCUUAGGGAUAACUUUGUGGUAGUGUAUGAGUUACUUGAUGAAAUGAUGGACUUUGGCUACCCUCAGUACACGGAAGCAAAAAUUCUUAGUGAAUUUAUCAAGACUGAUGCGUACAGGAUGGAAACUAAUCAGAGGCCUCCCAUGGCUGUCAC